This 557-nucleotide ribosomal RNA is filed under the name uncultured bacterium. Its description in RNAcentral is "bacterial SSU rRNA". It matches the Rfam family "Bacterial small subunit ribosomal RNA", at positions 94 to 718 of the family's 1533-position model. The record is from RNAcentral.
AGUGGCGAACGGGUGAGUAAUGUAUCGGAACGUGCCCAGUAGCGGGGGAUAACUACGCGAAAGCGUAGCUAAUACCGCAUACUAUUGGAGCGGCCGAUAUCGGAUUAGCUAGUUGGUGGGGUAACGGCUCACCAAGGCGACGAUCCGUAGCUGGUUUGAGAGGACGACCAGCCACACUGGGACUGAGACACGGCCCAGACUCCUACGGGAGGCAGCAGUGGGGAAUUUUGGACAAUGGGGGAAACCCUGAUCCAGCCAUCCCGCGUGUGCGAUGAAGGCCUCCGGGUUGUAAAGCACUUUUGGCAGGAAAGCGGUACCUGCAGAAUAAGCACCGGCUAACUACGUGCCAGCAGCCGCGGUAAUACGUAGGGUGCAAGCGUUAAUCGGAAUUACUGGGCGUAAAGCGUGCGCAGGCGGUUCGGAAAGAAAGAUGUGAAAUCCCAGAGCUUAACUUUGGAACUGCAUUUUUAACUACCGGGCUAGAGUGUGUCAGAGGGAGGUGGAAUUCCGCGUGUAGCAGUGAAGUGCGUAGAUAUGCGGAGGAACACCGAUGGCGA